CACAAUGAUUCUCACCUUUUAAUACACGAUUUGAUUACUAUUUAUUGUUUUAGGGUACCAAGAUACACAAGAGAAUUAGAGUAAAAAGGCAGAUUAUGGCAUCACAAGGAAAACAGUGUGACCCGUCAAUCUCCUGAGGGAACUGCUGAGGUGAUCAGGUCACGCCUGCUGUUCCCAGGAGCAGACACGCAGAUUUGCAGCCCUCUUCCUACUUGACGUGACUACUCGUAUAAGGUGUCAGGUGGUAAUGAAAGCACAUGAUUUGUUCUGGUCUGUUGGUUAACUGGAAGCUGGCCGUACCCAACGCAUCCUUCUCCAUGACAUGGUCUUUAUUGGUUUUCUAUACUGUACCUGACUGUAAUGUCUGUUCAGAAACUAUGGAUGCAUCAAGAAGAAAACAAAGAAUCAUUAGUAAAACAACAAGUUACAAUUAAAAUCUAGAGUGUUAUGACAAUA
Molecule: long non-coding RNA, 456 nt
Organism: Panthera uncia (snow leopard)
Lineage: Eukaryota; Metazoa; Chordata; Mammalia; Carnivora; Felidae
Exons: 2
Source: RefSeq, a predicted model, not a curated record